AUUGAACGCUGGCGGCAUGCUUUACACAUGCAAGUCGAACGGUAACAGGCCUUCGGGUGCUGACGAGUGGCGCACGGGUGAGUAAUGCAUCGGAACGUACCCAGAGGUGGGGGAUAACGCAGCGAAAGCUGUGCUAAUGCCGCAUGUGAUCUGAGGAUGAAAGCGGGGGACCGAGCAGCAAUGUUUGGCCUCGCGCCUUUGGAGCGGCCGAUGUCGGAUUAGCUAGUUGGUGGGGUAAAGGCCUACCAAGGCGACGAUCCGUAGCUGGUCUGAGAGGACGACCAGCCACACUGGGACUGAGACACGGCCCAGACUCCUACGGGAGGCAGCAGUGGGGAAUUUUGGACAAUGGGCGCAAGCCUGAUCCAGCAAUGCCGCGUGCGGGAAGAAGGCCUUCGGGUUGUAAACCGCUUUUGGCAGGAACGAAACGGUGUCCGCUAAUACCGGGCGCUAAUGACGGUACCUGCAGAAUAAGCACCGGCUAACUACGUG
RNAcentral lists this ribosomal RNA (492 nucleotides) under uncultured bacterium. RNAcentral describes it as "partial 16S ribosomal RNA". It matches the Rfam family "Bacterial small subunit ribosomal RNA", at positions 29 to 507 of the family's 1533-position model. The record is from RNAcentral.